AUAAAACAAAAUCAAAUUAAAAAAAAAAAAUCAAUAAUCAAACACUAAAACAGCAUGAUUCAAAAUACCCAUAUACCAAAUACCAAUUUAAGCACACAUGUUAUACAAAAAUGAACAUAAAAACAUACCAAUUAGCUGCUUAGACAUCCAGAAAACAUGCCAAAAGAAAAAAUGAGUGAAAACUAUAACAGAUUAAGGGAUCUGAUAAAACCAAAAAAACUUCUACAAUCCAAAAAAAUAUAAAACCACACAUGUCCACUUCAAAACCCCUCAUUUAUCUUCAUUAUCCCAACCAAUCAAACACCCAUAAAAAACAGCAACAAAAACAAAAUCAAAA
RNAcentral lists this unclassified non-coding RNA (337 nucleotides) under Hevea brasiliensis (rubber tree). The record is from RNAcentral. Lineage: Eukaryota; Viridiplantae; Streptophyta; Magnoliopsida; Malpighiales; Euphorbiaceae.